Molecule: non-coding RNA, 2988 nt
Organism: Manis javanica (Malayan pangolin)
Lineage: Eukaryota; Metazoa; Chordata; Mammalia; Pholidota; Manidae
Source: RefSeq, a predicted model, not a curated record
UAGUUAUAAAAGGUGUUGGAAAUGCAGUGUGUUGAUUUUCAUUACGACGGAAUGAGUGCCCUGUCCAUAAAAGGGUUCAGAGAGGACCCUGAUCAUCAACUGCUCAACAGUGAGGAACAUAAAGUGCAUCACAGGUUGGACAAAACUGCUCCCACCUCAAAGGAAAUGCAAGUCCUAACCACACCUACUACCACACACCCCGCGCCAUGAGCUUGGCUUUCCAAUAGGAAAGUUCCUCCAUUCAAAGACAAACUUACUGUGCUCAGUCAGGGACUAAGGCCCCACUGGUGUAAUGGACAAGGCACAGAGUAAACCCUAGCUGCUCUUUUUCAGGUAAUAAUAAUUAUGAUAAUAAUGAUAAUAAUACCUGACAUUGAUUAGGUUCUUGUAUGUGUGAGUCACUGUGCUAAGCACAAUAAGUGAAGUAACUCCCUGAAAUUUUAUGACCCUAUGGAGUGUAUGUGAUUAUUAUCCCAGUUUACAGAUGAGAAAACUCAGCACAGAGAGGUUCGAAAGUGCCUAGUGAGGGCUUUUAUCCACUGUGGUGCCUUUGGCAAGUUGUUUCUGCUCUCUACAGCCCCAUGUCCUUACCUGUAUGCAUUGUAUUAACCUAGCCUUACACACACUGCGGUCUCCAAAAAUGUCAUCUCCCUUCCCUGCCUGGAGCCUGGGAGAGGGAUGGUGACCAGCACUCAUGAAGCAGCUUUUUUUGACAUUACUUUAUAAGGCUUUGUAAAGGUUUUAUCAGGGGAAAUGACAUGGCUUAAUUCUCUUUGCCCGGAAUCAGUUUUCUAAGGAAUAUCCAGUGGUGUUUGAAAGUGGAGAGAUAAGGGCUCCAGUGGGCAUAAUUCUGCCUCCCGCUGUGUGAGGGAUAAGGGACAGUUCACACUUCCUGGAUGGGAGCUUCUGCCAGAGCAGAGGAAGUGUCCUGGGGCCUAGCAGAGUGCUUUCCCAGGGCAUGGAGCAGAGACAGCAUGGCUGGGAAAACCAUACCUAGUAGACUAGCCUCCUUGGGAUGUGUUCAGAAAAGGAUGCUGGACCUUACCCAAUAUUUGGAAUUUCUUCCAAAUGCCUGGAGUGAGUCAAAUGAUCUGGAGUCUAGUCAGUAGAUAGUAAUGUCUGUGGAAGCACUUUGUAAACCAUAAGCCUUAUACAAAUAACAACUCAAAUUUGUUGAGAACUUACUAUACACUGGUGCUGUUCUGAGCUUCUUACAUAAUAUAACUCAUUUAGUCCCUCGACAAGGCAAGGAAUCCGGUACUACCAUAUUAUUAUCAUCAGCCACUUUAUAGAUGGAGAUGUUGAAGCAGACAGAGGUCAAAUACCUUGACCAGUCCAAGGUCACAUAGCUAGUAAGUGGGAGAGGCAGGAUUUGAACUCUUAAACUUUGUCCAAAUGACCACUUACUGCCAUUGGUGUGCAGAUGAAAAGAUACCAACCUUUAAAGUAGCACAGUCACUUUUUGACUCGCCCUAUGCCCCUUGACACAAAAUUGCUGAAUCUCUGUUUCUCCAGAAGAACUGAAUUAAUUGUCGUUCUACCUGUCUCUAGGCAAACUGUGAGAGGAAAUGAUGGAUGUAAAAAUAGUCUUAGGUAGCCUGGAAAAAGCACUAUGGGAAAGCAGACCCUUAGGUGCGAACUGUUUUGUCUGGGACUCUUUCACAGAAACCCCAGCCUGGCUUCCUCGCCCUUCUUCACUGGGUGCCAGCAUGCCUACUAUUUAGGACUGCAGCCAUUUGUUCUGCACAGGGUGGAGGGGCUGGCAAUUAAGAUGCAUUGUGCUUUAACUGUAUUGACUUUGAAAAAAGCCAAGGGAAGCUUUAGAAAUGUCCAUAUUGUUAUAUUACAAAGAGAAGAGGAAUGACUAUAGGUCUGGUGGAAUGUCUGACAGAAGUGAGGGUGAGGGACCUAGGGUAGGGGGUGCCCCUCACAGGAUGUGAGCCUGCACAGCCACACUAAGCCGCUUCCUCAGAAGGGAAAGCAAGUUGUCCUCUCCCCCUGCACCAGUGGGUCUUGUCAUCAUCCACCCUGGAUCACAGACCACUUUUUGUUCACGUGAGCCCUGUUUAACUCUAUUCCCACUGGGCCAGCCACUUUCUUGGGGGUGGUAACCCUCCUGAAACAGCCAUCAGGACACCCAGGAUGGGCUCCCUUAACUGCACUCAUAAUGUCUGACGUGCCUCUGAUGUCUUUUUCCUCUGCUUCUCUCCUUCUUUGAGUGGAAGUCAAGUCCCGCGUUAGGAAGCGGCAGGACUGGCAGCAGAAUGUCUCCAGGUCGCCAGGGUGGGGAUGCUGUUUUGGCAAAUGCAGAGGCCGCCUGGGAGCCACUGGGAAUGAUUUUAGCCCCAGGCUUCCAGAGGAUGUCUCCGGGCCAGAAGUCUGAAACCACGUGGGUUGGUGAAGUCCUACUAAGAGCCUGAAACUGGACGAGCACCGGACUGGGAUUAUGCUCAGCAACUUGGUGCUAUCAGUGACCGCAUUGAUGGUCUCACACCAGUCUUGGGAAGUUUGCAGUAUUGUUGCCAUUUGGCAGAUGGGAAAUUGGGAAUCACCUUUAAUGGCAUGCUUAAAAUGACUGCUCAGAUUCAAGGGAGGCACUCUCCAGGUCUGUGGCAGGAUGUGAAGUGGGAAGUGUUUUGUGGUCUAAAGAAGAAAGGCAGCCGGGGUGGCGUGGGCCACUGCUACUCUGGAGAGAGCAGAGGACAAGAGGAGGGAGGGACAGAGCUGGGGGGAUAAACAAAACCAUUUCCCCACCCUUCCUCACAGCUUCCCCUUCCUGCUUUGCAAGGCCCAGGGUUUCAGAUCCAUGCUUGCGGUCUGGUGUCCUGCUGUGAUCCCUGGUUUAGUCACUGCGGGUAACAUUUGGUUUGGAUUCUAUCACAUCUGCGUAGUUUGACCUUGGGCAAGUCACUUAACCACUGGGCCUCAGAUUCUUCACUUGUAACAUGGAGGGAAUACUACUUACAGCAUAAAGUUGUUGAAAAUAAA